CCUACGGGAGGCAGCAGUAGGGAAUCUUUCACAAUGGGCGAAAGCCUGAUGGAGCAACGCCGCGUGCAGGAUGAAGGCCUUCGGGUUGUAAACUGCUUUUAUAAGCGAGAAAUAUGAUGGUAACUUAUGAAUAAGGAUCGGCUAACUACGUGCCAGCAGCCGCGGUCAUACGUAGGAGCCGAGCAUUAUCCGGAGUGACUGGGUGUAAAGAGUUGCGUAGGUGGCAUAAUAAGUAGCUAGUGAAAUCUGGUGGCUCAACCAUUCAGACUAUUAGCUAAACUGUUAAGCUCGAGACCGUUAGGGGUAAGUGGAAUUUCUGGUGUAGGAGUGAAAUGCGUAGAUAUUAGAAGGAACACCAAUGGCGAAGGCAGGUUACUGGGACGGUUCUGACACUAAGGCACGAAAGCGUAGGGAGCAAACGGGAUUAGAUACCCUUGUAGUC
Molecule: ribosomal RNA, 442 nt
Filed under: uncultured bacterium
Lineage: Bacteria
Description: partial 16S ribosomal RNA
Rfam family: Bacterial small subunit ribosomal RNA
Source: RNAcentral